AGGUCAUGUCAAGAGGACAUCUCCUAAUCAGUUGCUUGUAUCUCUCCCAAGCUUCAUAGAGGGAUUUACCCUUUUUCUGUCUGAAGGUUUGAACCUCCACCCUAAACUU
Small nucleolar RNA from Arachis stenosperma, 109 nucleotides. The record is from RefSeq and is a predicted model, not a curated record. Lineage: Eukaryota; Viridiplantae; Streptophyta; Magnoliopsida; Fabales; Fabaceae.